This is a long non-coding RNA of Corapipo altera (White-ruffed manakin), 2531 nucleotides long. RefSeq lists it as uncharacterized. The record is from RefSeq and is a predicted model, not a curated record. The transcript has 2 exons. NCBI's taxonomy places the organism in Eukaryota, Metazoa, Chordata, Aves, Passeriformes, Pipridae.
GCAGGGGCAUGGGACUAGAUGAUCUUGAAAGGUCCCUUCCAACCCGGGCCAUUCUAUGAUUCUCCAUGGCCCAGAAAUAGCUGGAAUAGAGAGCAGAUGUCCAUGCAUUGCUUGGGGUAAGUUGGGUGGCCCUCUGCAGCAAGGGCUUUCCAAAACUCCUGAAAAAAAAAUCCAAUUUUGAAUGCUAGCACUUUAUUUUUUUUUAUAGGAACAGUCAUUUUUAGACCUAUUAAUGCCACUAAGCUGUGGCUGGAACAGAGUUUCUCUGCAAGUGUGUCAAGAGUUGUGACCAGAUCUCCCAGAACUUUUGUUAUUUCUCAGCAGCUCUCAAAGACCUACUGGGGUGAGCAAAAUCUGCCUGCGGGGAAUAGAAAAAACAUGGGAAGCUGUCUGACUCCAGCACCAUAGGGCAUGAUAGUACUCUAUACUCUUUUCUAAUCACUGUAGUGGUUUAGAAUUUCCUUCAACUUGGAUCUCAUUCUUUCAACUAAGACCUUCCUUCUGCCAAGGUCCCCAGAGUCUCUGGCACAUGUGGGGAGAUGCUUCGAGGAACUCAGUCACAGCAAACCAGAAGGAAAGCCACACUGCUGUCAGACCAUGCUGUAACAAGCAAGCAGGGACCAGGGCUCUGCCUCCACCCUGGGUCCCUCUGCCUGUGCCCUGGCUCCCCUCACAGAGUUUCUCUCUGAGGGUGUAUUUGAUGACUGGACCAAGUAACAGCUCUACAACCCAUUUCAGGCUCUCCUAAAGGAAAGCCUAAGUAUUAACAAUUACAGAAAUUGACUAAUCAAAAAAGUAAGACCUUAACUGAAUGUAUUGUUAGGUUGCGAGAAAUCUCUCUUGAGUGAACAAAGCGAAUGACUAAACUUUACAAAAUUAGCUUCUGAAAUAGCCAAGAGAGAAGCAUGUUUCUGCACCUGGAACAAAGGUGCAAUGGGUUUCACAGGUAAACUUUACAGCAUCACCAACAGAAAAGGAGGAGCUGCGGGAACCCAGGAAGGUCCAGAAAGGAGUGAUGCAGCUGGGACAGCCACUGCACCAGGGAAAAGAUGGGAGAAAGAAGUUUGGGGAUGCAAGGAGGGGCCUCAAACCGUGCCAUGGUCUUGCAGGCUUUCUCUGUGCCAUGAAAUGAUGUGUCUUCAGCACUGUGCUCUGACCACAGAGACGACCAGGACAGAGCAGCUCACAAACUGAAACAUAUCUGUCUUAUUUUCAUACCAUGCAGAACAGGACGGUGGUACCCAGCCAGCUUCCCAGCCUGCCCAAGAAUCAAUGGGACUGUAUUCCUCUCUCUGUGUCAAACCUUUACGCAGCAGCACACCAAAACAAGGUGGUGGCAAGGGACUGGUACCUAGGAAGGCACAAUUGCAGUUUAAUUGCCUGGUGUCAGUGUAACUCUAUUUUGAUCCAUCCUUUGCUCAAGGAAAAUAGGAUACUAGAUCAUUUGCAGGACUGAAGCAGAAAAUGAGGAAGGCUGCAUUUGACAGAGGAUGGAAACAAUCUGGAAAGAAAAUGGCUCAGUGCUAACACACUCACUGCAGGGAAGUGGACCCCAGGACUGCCUGGACAGUGAAGAGACAUGUCUGAGGCUUUGCAGCUUCCCCCUGGACUGUCUUGCCGUUUUUCUCAGCCUGCAGGUUGCUGUGCUUUGAGUCAUGAUUUACUCUUCCUGCAUGCAUGGAAGUAGUUUACCUUCUCACAGCCAAAGCCUGCCUGCCUUGAGCCGCCUUGCCAGACACAAACAGAAGGCAAACAGGCAGAUGGGCUCACAGAUGAAACUUCAAAACCAGAUUUAACUUAGCAGAUGUACUCAAGCCAGAUGCAACCCUGAGGCAGGUCUCAGCUCAUGAGAUGACAGAUGAAGGGCCACCUUCAUCAGCCACAGGAUGCCAAGUACGGCUUUCUCAGCUGGAAAGGCAGAGGUAGGCAGAGCUGUGGCCGCAGCCAGAGGAGCACACCAAGUGUGCAACCACCUGACAGCAUGGACCACCUCUGCCCACUCUGCUCUGCAGCUUCAGAAGGGAUUCACUCUUCCAGUAUCCAAACUGCAAGUGCAUCAGUGCUCAUCAAUUUGCAAGACCAGGGAACCUACCGCUGAGCUGAAGGUUUGGCUGUACAAUAACACAGUGUGGUGUGUGUGACCACAAGCUAUGCCAGUCUGACUGCAAAACAUAGCAUUAAGCCAACAGAUAGGUUUGAGCACAAAUGCAUUUUCCUUCAGAAAAUGAUUCCUUUUCAUGGAUUUAGAAUGGCUACAGGACAGAAAUCCUCAACAAUGCCUGUGUCAGCACAGGGGUAGCUGGGAAGGCUUCCUUGUGUACAGACUGUUUCUCUCACAGGAUGAAGCUGUUUGAGACUCCAGCACCAUUAAGAUGUGUAUGGAGUGCACCUCUUGGCUGCAUGGAACAGCUCAGACCACAGCUUGGUGCUAAGAAGAAGCAGAAAGAUGAGCAAAGAACUGUGAAAUCCAUCACCAUGUUUCAUACAAACAAAGUCAGGGAGACAAUAUAAAAAUUGGCAACAAAAAAAAA